AGAGGCAGUGGUAAACACCGAGAGCAUCUAGGGAGGAGAGUGGCCUGAGCCGAGUUGGGGAAAGCUGAAAAGAGGAAGAUUCGGGGAGUGGCCAGACGCUAAGGACUGGAGCUUGCAGGACACGGACGCCUUCGUGCUGGUCUACGACAUCUGCAGCCCGGACAGUUUCGACUACGUGAAGGCCCUGCGGCAGCGCAUCGCGGAGACCAGGUAGGGGCCCGGCAGUUCUGGCGGUGGGGAGCUAGGACAGGUCUGGCAGGGCCUUUGCCUGAGGAGAGUGUGUAGGGUCUCCCAACGUCGUGGGCCGGGUCUUAGGCCUUCGCCCGUGGGAAGGUCUUAAGCUGUAUGUGCUCUUUGGCCCACAUGGGCCUGGGGUUUCGUUUGGCGGGGGUGUCUCUGGCCGUAGGAAGGGAAUGCGCCUGCGUGUGUAUACCCACUGGGGGAAUUCUUCGGCCGUGGGGCCCCCGGCACCGCGUCUCUCAUCUCCCAUUCGGCCCCCAGGCCGGCGGGCGCGCCCGAAGCGCCCAUCCUCGUG
RNAcentral lists this small RNA (535 nucleotides) under Pongo abelii (Sumatran orangutan). RNAcentral describes it as "processed transcript". Lineage: Eukaryota; Metazoa; Chordata; Mammalia; Primates; Hominidae. The record is from RNAcentral.